Molecule: ribosomal RNA, 253 nt
Filed under: uncultured bacterium
Lineage: Bacteria
Description: partial 16S ribosomal RNA
Rfam family: Bacterial small subunit ribosomal RNA
Source: RNAcentral
UACGAAGGGGGCUAGCGUUGUUCGGAAUUACUGGGCGUAAAGGGCGCGUAGGCGGUACUUCAAGUCAGGCGUGAAAGCCCCGGGCUCAACCUGGGAACCGCGCUUGAGACUGGAGAACUAGAGUUCGGGAGAGGAUGGUGGAAUUCCCAGUGUAGAGGUGAAAUUCGUAGAUAUUGGGAAGAACACCGAUGGCGAAGGCAGCCAUCUGGAUCGACACUGACGCUGAGGCGCGAAAGCGUGGGGAGCGAACAGG